CCUACGGGUGGCAGCAGUGGGGAAUAUUGCACAAUGGGGGAAACCCUGAUGCAGCGACGCCGCGUGAGUGAAGAAGUAUCUCUAUACGUAAAGCUCUAUCAGCAGGGAAGAAAAUGACGGUACCUGACUAAGAAUCCCCGGCUACCUACGUGCCAGCAGCCGCGGGACUACGUAGGGGGCAAGCGUUAUCCGGAUUUACUGGGUGUAAAGGGAGCGUAGACGGCAGCACAAGUCUGGAGUGAAAUCCCGGGGCUUAACCACGGAACUGCUUUGGAAACUGGGCGGCUGGAGUGCAGGAGGGGUAGGCGGAAUGCGUGGUGGAGCGGUGAAAUGCGUAGAUAUUAGGCAGAACACCGAUGGCGAAGGCGGCUUACUGGACUGUAACUGACGUUGAGGCUCGAAAGCGUGGGGAGCAAACAGGAUUAGAUACCCGAGUAGUC
RNAcentral lists this ribosomal RNA (440 nucleotides) under uncultured bacterium. Its description in RNAcentral is "partial 16S ribosomal RNA". It matches the Rfam family "Bacterial small subunit ribosomal RNA", at positions 338 to 795 of the family's 1533-position model. The record is from RNAcentral.